ACAACUUUCAACAACGGAUCUCUUGGUUCUGGCAUCGAUGAAGAACGCAGCGAAAUGCGAUAAGUAGUGUGAAUUGCAGAAUUCAGUGAAUCAUCGAAUCUUUGAACGCACAUUGCGCCCUUUGGUAUUCCAAAGGGCAUGCUUGUUCGAGCGUCAUU
RNAcentral lists this ribosomal RNA (158 nucleotides) under Entodesmium rude. RNAcentral's name for it is "5.8S ribosomal RNA". It matches the Rfam family "5.8S ribosomal RNA". From Rfam's summary of the family: 5.8S ribosomal RNA (5.8S rRNA) is a component of the large subunit of the eukaryotic ribosome. RNAcentral also lists the same sequence under 1 other name. Lineage: Eukaryota; Fungi; Ascomycota; Dothideomycetes; Pleosporales; Phaeosphaeriaceae. The record is from RNAcentral.